GACGAACGCUGGCGGCGUGCCUAACACAUGCAAGUCGAGCGAAUGAAGUUCCUUCGGGAACGGAUUUAGCGGCGGACGGGUGAGUAACACGUGGGCAACCUGCCUCAUAGAGGGGAAUAGCCUUCCGAAAGGGAGAUUAAUACCGCAUAAGAUUGUAGUACCGCAUGGUACAGCAAUUAAAGGAGCAAUCCGCUAUGAGAUGGGCCCGCGGCGCAUUUGCUAGUUGGUGAAGUAACGGAUCACCAAGGCGACGAUGCGUAGCCGACCUGAGAGGGUGAUCGGACACAUUGGGACUGAGACACGGCCCAGACGACUACGGGAGGCAGCAGUGCGGAAUAUUGCACAAUGGGGGAAGCCCUGAUGCAGCAACGCCGCGUGAGUGAUGACGGCCUUCGGGUUGUAAAGCUCUGUCUUCAGGGACGAUAAUGACGGUACAUGAGGAGGAAGCCACGGCUAACUACGUGCCAGCCGCCGCAGUAA
This 480-nucleotide ribosomal RNA is filed under the name uncultured bacterium. RNAcentral describes it as "partial 16S ribosomal RNA". It matches the Rfam family "Bacterial small subunit ribosomal RNA", at positions 28 to 523 of the family's 1533-position model. The record is from RNAcentral.